RNAcentral lists this long non-coding RNA (261 nucleotides) under Hordeum vulgare. RNAcentral's name for it is "long non-coding RNA (HVUL_LNC016933)". Lineage: Eukaryota; Viridiplantae; Streptophyta; Magnoliopsida; Poales; Poaceae. The record is from RNAcentral.
UCCAAUCAUGUUCAUGCUUAACGCAUGCACCAAAUAACAAUUAUUUAGGUUUAGCACCAAUCCCGAUGGUAGAGGGAGCGUGCGACGUUUGAUCAUAUCAACCUUGGAAACACUUCCAACACGUAUGGUCACCUCGCCUUUAGCUAGUCUCCGUUUAUGCCGUAGCUUUCAUUUCGUGUUACUAAUCACUUAGCAACCGAACCGGUAUCCAAUACCCUCGUGCUACUAGUAGUACUAGUAAAGUACACAUCAACAUCAUAU